This 246-nucleotide long non-coding RNA is filed under the name Setaria italica (foxtail millet). RNAcentral's name for it is "long non-coding RNA (SITA_LNC004123)". The record is from RNAcentral. Lineage: Eukaryota; Viridiplantae; Streptophyta; Magnoliopsida; Poales; Poaceae.
ACACUCCCCUUUAGAGCAUCAGUGCACACCCAAGGGACUUGGGAUCAGCUCCCUCUCUCGCCCUCCUGUAACCCCUACUACAGACCCCGCGUGGGCAACACGAGCAGCUCCCGAUACUGGACGUAGGGCUCUUCCUUGCCCGAACCAGUCUAAACCCCGUGUCUCCCACGCCACCAUCCGAAGCCUUACGCGCAUAAAAGAAAUUUACUAGUCUUAGUCUUGAUCCGCUGAUCUUGACAACGACAC